This 111-nucleotide ribosomal RNA is filed under the name Acipenser oxyrinchus (Atlantic sturgeon). The record is from RNAcentral. Lineage: Eukaryota; Metazoa; Chordata; Actinopteri; Acipenseriformes; Acipenseridae.
GCCUGCGGGCACACCACUUUGAAUAAGUCUGAUCUCAGAAGUGAAACAAUGUUGGGCUUGGUUAGUACUUGGAUGGGAGACCGCCUGGGAAUACCAAGUGCUGCAGGCAUU